RNAcentral lists this ribosomal RNA (417 nucleotides) under uncultured eukaryote. Its description in RNAcentral is "SSU rRNA". It matches the Rfam family "Eukaryotic small subunit ribosomal RNA", at positions 592 to 1018 of the family's 1831-position model. The record is from RNAcentral.
CAAUAGCGUAUAUUAAAGUUGUUGCAGUUAAAAGCUCGUAGUUGGAUUUGUGACUUGUUCCGAGGCGUCCAUUUGUUUGGUUCUGCCUUUGGCGUGUCAUCCUUGGGUGGAUUUUGUGUGGCAUUAGGUUGUCGCGCAGGGGAUGCCCAUCGUUUACUGUGAAAAAUUAGAGUGUUCAAAGCAGGCUUAUGCCGUUGAAUAUAUUAGCAUGGAAUAAUAAGAUAGGUCUUUGGUUCUAUUUUGUUGGUUUGCGAGCCGUAGAAAUGAUUAACAGGGACAGUUGGGGGUAUUCGUAUUCCAUUGUCAGAGGUGAAAUUCUUGGAUUUCUGGAAGACGAACUACUGCGAAAGCAUUUACCAAGGAUGUUUUCAUUAAUCAAGAACGAAAGUUAGGGGAUCGAAGAUGAUUAGAUACCAU